GAUCUGGUGGCCUAGUGGUUAGAGGGUCCGACUUGAAAUCGGGAGGUCGAUGGUUUUAUUCCCUGUCGAGUCA
This is a non-coding RNA of Potamilus streckersoni, 73 nucleotides long. The record is from the annotation of a GenBank genome assembly. NCBI's taxonomy places the organism in Eukaryota, Metazoa, Mollusca, Bivalvia, Unionida, Unionidae.